UUGAAAAUGAUAAAUAAUUUUUUCCACUUGUUCGUAAGAAAAAAAAACCAAAAAGUGUUGAAUUACUUUAAAAACAUAUAUCGACGAACCACAUAAACCAGGUAAAAUAAUCACUUGUACCAAAGCCACAAUACCAAAGAUUUCACGUGAAGAAAAGAGCGAUCAACAGCCUAAUCCCGGUAGUAAUCUCGAAACUACGUAACCGACACGAAAAUAGCCAAGUGCAUCGAAAGCAUGGGCAUCAUCUCCAGCGGUUACCCUCGGUUCCCCACGCGCCCGAUAGGGACGGACCAAUAGGCAAUAUUCGUAGGUGCAAGGGCCCAUCAACGUCAACCUGAGUGGGUCACGGCCCAUACAAAGCGUCCCGACGAGGCUUCCCCCACCCGCGCUGCCUCUGCCUUCGCAUUCACAUUUAAACCUGGAGCGACCGUAGUGAAAUCAUUCCACAACCAUCGCUCGUGAUACGCGCUUCAGUAUUACAAGUGUUCCUCUUUUCCUAGUUCCAUUCGUUACAUUCAUUCCAAACACGUUUCGAAGAUGUCAGGCUUAGACCCCACCGAAACCUACUAAGUCAUUGACUAGUGUCAAUACACCUGCGAAGUUCAAAACUUUUUUUACGAAUUUACUUCGAUCCACGAAAACUGUCACUAUGGACGGCGGAAAAUUAGAUCCCACCAACCAAUACUAACUGGCGACCUUCGACCAGCCCACGUGUGUGCACUGUUUGUUUACAUUGACUCUCAGCAACCCAACGAUGGCACCCUGCAAACCUGAAGCUGAUCCUACCGGGCUUUACUAAUGUGGCACCUUAAGAUGGGAGAUGGCGGUCGCCCUGAGACUUCCAGCUGUCGUCGAAAAAGAUUACUUUAAAAUGGUAUUCCCUGCUGAACACAUCACUGCCACAUCGAGUUACCCCGUUCAUCUGGUUAUACACACAAGACUGAAGCUUGUUGAUUUUAUAUGAUGUAUUUUGUUAUUUUAAAUUAUAUAUGUAGUUUAAGUUCCUCCAUGAGAUUAACAUUCAGCAAUAAUGUUCUUCUAAAUAAUGUAUAUAAAACUCUCCCUAUGUAUAAUAUCCUGGUAAAAUUUACUUAUCCUAAAUAUUAAAUGAUUUUUAUUACUUUUUA
Molecule: long non-coding RNA, 1127 nt
Organism: Harmonia axyridis
Lineage: Eukaryota; Metazoa; Arthropoda; Insecta; Coleoptera; Coccinellidae
Exons: 2
Source: RefSeq, a predicted model, not a curated record